Molecule: ribosomal RNA, 2931 nt
Filed under: Escherichia coli
Lineage: Bacteria; Pseudomonadati; Pseudomonadota; Gammaproteobacteria; Enterobacterales; Enterobacteriaceae
Description: 23S ribosomal RNA
Rfam family: Bacterial large subunit ribosomal RNA
Source: RNAcentral
GGGUUGUGAGGUUAAGCGACUAAGCGUACACGGUGGAUGCCCUGGCAGUCAGAGGCGAUGAAGGACGUGCUAAUCUGCGAUAAGCGUCGGUAAGGUGAUAUGAACCGUUAUAACCGGCGAUUUCCGAAUGGGGAAACCCAGUGUGAUUCGUCACACUAUCAUUAACUGAAUCCAUAGGUUAAUGAGGCGAACCGGGGGAACUGAAACAUCUAAGUACCCCGAGGAAAAGAAAUCAACCGAGAUUCCCCCAGUAGCGGCGAGCGAACGGGGAGCAGCCCAGAGCCUGAAUCAGUGUGUGUGUUAGUGGAAGCGUCUGGAAAGGCGUGCGAUACAGGGUGACAGCCCCGUACACAAAAAUGCACAUGCUGUGAGCUCGAUGAGUAGGGCGGGACACGUGGUAUCCUGUCUGAAUAUGGGGGGACCAUCCUCCAAGGCUAAAUACUCCUGACUGACCGAUAGUGAACCAGUACCGUGAGGGAAAGGCGAAAAGAACCCCGGCGAGGGGAGUGAAAAAGAACCUGAAACCGUGUACGUACAAGCAGUGGGAGCACGCUUAGGCGUGUGACUGCGUACCUUUUGUAUAAUGGGUCAGCGACUUAUAUUCUGUAGCAAGGUUAACCGAAUAGGGGAGCCGAAGGGAAACCGAGUCUUAACUGGGCGUUAAGUUGCAGGGUAUAGACCCGAAACCCGGUGAUCUAGCCAUGGGCAGGUUGAAGGUUGGGUAACACUAACUGGAGGACCGAACCGACUAAUGUUGAAAAAUUAGCGGAUGACUUGUGGCUGGGGGUGAAAGGCCAAUCAAACCGGGAGAUAGCUGGUUCUCCCCGAAAGCUAUUUAGGUAGCGCCUCGUGAAUUCAUCUCCGGGGGUAGAGCACUGUUUCGGCAAGGGGGUCAUCCCGACUUACCAACCCGAUGCAAACUGCGAAUACCGGAGAAUGUUAUCACGGGAGACACACGGCGGGUGCUAACGUCCGUCGUGAAGAGGGAAACAACCCAGACCGCCAGCUAAGGUCCCAAAGUCAUGGUUAAGUGGGAAACGAUGUGGGAAGGCCCAGACAGCCAGGAUGUUGGCUUAGAAGCAGCCAUCAUUUAAAGAAAGCGUAAUAGCUCACUGGUCGAGUCGGCCUGCGCGGAAGAUGUAACGGGGCUAAACCAUGCACCGAAGCUGCGGCAGCGACGCUUAUGCGUUGUUGGGUAGGGGAGCGUUCUGUAAGCCUGCGAAGGUGUGCUGUGAGGCAUGCUGGAGGUAUCAGAAGUGCGAAUGCUGACAUAAGUAACGAUAAAGCGGGUGAAAAGCCCGCUCGCCGGAAGACCAAGGGUUCCUGUCCAACGUUAAUCGGGGCAGGGUGAGUCGACCCCUAAGGCGAGGCCGAAAGGCGUAGUCGAUGGGAAACAGGUUAAUAUUCCUGUACUUGGUGUUACUGCGAAGGGGGGACGGAGAAGGCUAUGUUGGCCGGGCGACGGUUGUCCCGGUUUAAGCGUGUAGGCUGGUUUUCCAGGCAAAUCCGGAAAACUAAGGCUGAGGCGUGAUGACGAGGCACUACGGUGCUGAAGCAACAAAUGCCCUGCUUCCAGGAAAAGCCUCUAAGCAUCAGGUAACAUCAAAUCGUACCCCAAACCGACACAGGUGGUCAGGUAGAGAAUACCAAGGCGCUUGAGAGAACUCGGGUGAAGGAACUAGGCAAAAUGGUGCCGUAACUUCGGGAGAAGGCACGCUGAUAUGUAGGUGAAGUCCCUCGCGGAUGGAGCUGAAAUCAGUCGAAGAUACCAGCUGGCUGCAACUGUUUAUUAAAAACACAGCACUGUGCAAACACGAAAGUGGACGUAUACGGUGUGACGCCUGCCCGGUGCCGGAAGGUUAAUUGAUGGGGUCAGCGCAAGCGAAGCUCUUGAUCGAAGCCCCGGUAAACGGCGGCCGUAACUAUAACGGUCCUAAGGUAGCGAAAUUCCUUGUCGGGUAAGUUCCGACCUGCACGAAUGGCGUAAUGAUGGCCAGGCUGUCUCCACCCGAGACUCAGUGAAAUUGAACUCGCUGUGAAGAUGCAGUGUACCCGCGGCAAGACGGAAAGACCCCGUGAACCUUUACUAUAGCUUGACACUGAACAUUGAGCCUUGAUGUGUAGGAUAGGUGGGAGGCUUUGAAGUGUGGACGCCAGUCUGCAUGGAGCCGACCUUGAAAUACCACCCUUUAAUGUUUGAUGUUCUAACGUUGACCCGUAAUCCGGGUUGCGGACAGUGUCUGGUGGGUAGUUUGACUGGGGCGGUCUCCUCCUAAAGAGUAACGGAGGAGCACGAAGGUUGGCUAAUCCUGGUCGGACAUCAGGAGGUUAGUGCAAUGGCAUAAGCCAGCUUGACUGCGAGCGUGACGGCGCGAGCAGGUGCGAAAGCAGGUCAUAGUGAUCCGGUGGUUCUGAAUGGAAGGGCCAUCGCUCAACGGAUAAAAGGUACUCCGGGGAUAACAGGCUGAUACCGCCCAAGAGUUCAUAUCGACGGCGGUGUUUGGCACCUCGAUGUCGGCUCAUCACAUCCUGGGGCUGAAGUAGGUCCCAAGGGUAUGGCUGUUCGCCAUUUAAAGUGGUACGCGAGCUGGGUUUAGAACGUCGUGAGACAGUUCGGUCCCUAUCUGCCGUGGGCGCUGGAGAACUGAGGGGGGCUGCUCCUAGUACGAGAGGACCGGAGUGGACGCAUCACUGGUGUUCGGGUUGUCAUGCCAAUGGCACUGCCCGGUAGCUAAAUGCGGAAGAGAUAAGUGCUGAAAGCAUCUAAGCACGAAACUUGCCCCGAGAUGAGUUCUCCCUGACUCCUUGAGAGUCCUGAAGGAACGUUGAAGACGACGACGUUGAUAGGCCGGGUGUGUAAGCGCAGCGAUGCGUUGAGCUAACCGGUACUAAUGAACCGUGAGGCUUAACCUUACAACGCCGAAGGUGUUU